This 253-nucleotide ribosomal RNA is filed under the name uncultured bacterium. RNAcentral describes it as "partial 16S ribosomal RNA". It matches the Rfam family "Bacterial small subunit ribosomal RNA", at positions 524 to 776 of the family's 1533-position model. The record is from RNAcentral.
UACGUAGGGGGCAAGCGUUGUCCGGAAUUAUUGGGCGUAAAGAGCUCGUAGGUGGUUUGUCGCGUUGUUCGUGAAAACUCACAGCUCAACCGUGGGCGUGCGGGCGAUACUGGCAGACUGGAGUACUGCAGGGGAGACUGGAAUUCCUGGUGUAGCGGUGGAAUGCGCAGAUAUCAGGAGGAACACCGGUGGCGAAGGCGGGUCUCUGGGCAGUAACUGACGCUGAGGAGCGAAAGCGUGGGGAGCGAACAGG